RNAcentral lists this small nuclear RNA (104 nucleotides) under Sciurus vulgaris (Eurasian red squirrel). Lineage: Eukaryota; Metazoa; Chordata; Mammalia; Rodentia; Sciuridae. The record is from RNAcentral.
GCGCUUGCUUCAGCAGCACAUAUACUAAAAUUAGAAUGAUACAGAGAAGACCCCGGCCCCUGUGUGUGGAUGACAUGCAAAUUCAUGAAGUGCUCCAUAUUUUU